RNAcentral lists this ribosomal RNA (301 nucleotides) under uncultured bacterium. RNAcentral's name for it is "partial 16S ribosomal RNA". It matches the Rfam family "Bacterial small subunit ribosomal RNA", at positions 509 to 809 of the family's 1533-position model. The record is from RNAcentral.
CAGCCGCCGCGGGAAUACGGAGGGAGCUAGCGUUGUUCGGAAUUACUGGGCGUAAAGCGCGCGUAGGCGGUUACUCAAGUCAGAGGUGAAAGCCCGGGGCUCAACCCCGGAACUGCCUUUGAAACUAGGUGACUAGAAUCUUGGAGAGGUCAGUGGAAUUCCGAGUGUAGAGGUGAAAUUCGUAGAUAUUCGGAAGAACACCAGUGGCGAAGGCGACUGACUGGACAAGUAUUGACGCUGAGGUGCGAAAGCGUGGGGAGCAAACAGGAUUAGAUACCCCAGUAGUCCCUGUCUCUUAUAA